Long non-coding RNA from Raphanus sativus (radish), 1139 nucleotides. RefSeq lists it as uncharacterized. The transcript is spliced from 5 exons. Lineage: Eukaryota; Viridiplantae; Streptophyta; Magnoliopsida; Brassicales; Brassicaceae. The record is from RefSeq and is a predicted model, not a curated record.
UAAACGGAAAUGAAGAACCACAGAGGAGAAGAUCAGAGACCGUCCAUUCUAUUCUUUCUUUUUUCUUUUAAAUAAAACACAAUCUUGUCUAUAAAUUCCAAAUACUCUUCAUUCUUCAUUUUCACAAGUUCAUAAGUCUCUCAAGCAAGUUUCUUCUAUCAACAUCACUAAAAAUCAGAAUUCAAAGUUGUCUCUUAUACGUACAACAAUUCAAUAAAUCAAGAUAUGGCGUCUAAUCAUGGAGAAAACGCGAAUUUUAGUGAGCAUCAUACAGAAGCAGCAACACGGGUAACAUAUUUACUGUCAUAUUUAAAUUUGUUGUUUUGUUAGAAAUUAAUUAAUAUUAAAUUAUCAAUUUUAAAAAAUUUUAGAAUGAAGACCAUUUGAAAUGGGACCAUAGAAGAGAACGAAUGUUUAUUGAGUUGUACGAACACACAUUUGCCAUGAAUAAAUAUCGUCUAAAAGAUCCGUCACCUCAUGGGAAAGAGUUUAUAGUUGACAAGUUCAACUAAGAGUUUAAUCUUGAUAUAAACUACAAGUUUUUCCGAGAAAAACUUGAUCAAAUGAAAAGAAAGUACAAGAAGUAUACAAAUUUUAUGCACAACUCAACGGGUAUCUCAGUUGAUCCUGUUACAUCAAUGAUUUCUGCAUCUGUUUCAUGGUGGAAAGAUAGUGAAGUGUGUAAGAUUAUAAAGUCAUUUAAGCGAAAGCCACCAGAGUUUUGGGAUAUUAUGCAAUGAUGUUUCAAAUUAUAUGACGUCUGUUCGCAAUCUUAAUACUCUGUGAACCAAAGAAGAGAAGAGAUUAUGAACGAAAAGUUAGCAAAUGAUGAAAGUUAUCUCAAUUCAGAAAUGUUUGGUGAUGACAUGGCAGAAAUUCAAGUUCCAGAAACACAAAAAAUGAAGAUGUAUAUCGUGUUAACAUUGACGAUCAAACACGACCUACCAGUGAGUUUACUCGUGAAUCCAUGCGUUAAGAUAUGUCAAUUUCUUGAUUUCUCAAUUGUUUUUAUUCAUCGUUCUGAAAAUGUAUCAUUUGAUUAUUUAGUUAAGAUAGCAAAAUCCUUCUAUAGAGACAUGUACUACAUUGGUUGUUUUAUUCCGGUCUAGUUUUCCAAACCACCUCAAGCUUGAAUAAUA